This 460-nucleotide ribosomal RNA is filed under the name uncultured bacterium. RNAcentral's name for it is "partial 16S ribosomal RNA". It matches the Rfam family "Bacterial small subunit ribosomal RNA", at positions 338 to 795 of the family's 1533-position model. The record is from RNAcentral.
CCUACGGGUGGCAGCAGUGAGGAAUAUUGGUCAAUGGGCGGAAGCCUGAACCAGCCAAGUAGCGUGCAGGAUGACGGCCCUACGGGUUGUAAACUGCUUUUAUACGGGAAUAACGCGCCUUACGUGUAGGGCUUUGCAUGUACCGUGUGAAUAAGGACCGGCUAAUUCCGUGCCAGCAGCCGCGGUAAGACGGAAGGUCCGGGCGUUAUCCGGAUUUGUUGGGUUUAAAGGGAGCGUAGGCCGCAUGUCAAGCGUGCUGUGAAAUGUCCGGGCGCAACCCGGGCCUUGCAGCGCGAACUGGCGUGCUAGAGUCCGCGGAAAGCAGGCGGAAUUCGUCGUGUAGCAGUGAAAUGCGUAGAUAUGGCGAAGAACCCCGAGAGCGAAGGCAGCUUGCUGCAGCUGAACUGACGCUGAUGCUCGAAGGCGCGGGUAGCGAACAGGAUUAGAUACCCCAGUAGUC